CAUGUGCGCGGUCAUUGGGACUCUUGAAACCUAAGGCGCAGUGAAAGUGAAGGCCGCCUCGCGCGGACCGAGGGAGGAUGGGUCGGUCUUCGGACCGGCCCCGCACUCCCGGGGCGUCUCGAUCUCGUUCGUCGAGAUGAGGCGCACCCAGAGCGUACACGCUGGGACCCGAAAGAUGGUGAACUAUGCCUGGUCAGGACGAAGUCAGGGGAAACCCUGAUGGAGGUCCGUAGCGAUUCUGACGUGCAAAUCGAUCGUCGGAACUGGGUAUAGGGGCGAAAGACUAAUCGAACCAUCUAGUAGCUGGUUCCCUCCGAAGUUUCCCUCAGGAUAGCUGGCGCUCGCCGCGUGCGAGUCUCAUCCGGUAAAGCGAAUGAUUAGAGGCAUUGGGGUCGAAACGGCCUCAACCUAUUCUCAAACUUUAAAUGGGUGAGAUCUCCGGCUUGCUCGAAAGAUGAAGCCGGAGAUUUUUCGGAUCAGAGUGCCAAGUGGGCCACUUUUGGUAAGCAGAACUGGCGCUGUGGGAUGAACCAAACGCCGAGUUAAAGCGCCCAAAUCGACGCUUAUGGGAUACCAUGAAAGGCGUUGGUAACUUAAGACAGCAGGACGGUGGCCAU
RNAcentral lists this ribosomal RNA (617 nucleotides) under Trox sp. BMNH 793031. RNAcentral's name for it is "eukaryotic LSU rRNA". It matches the Rfam family "Eukaryotic large subunit ribosomal RNA", at positions 679 to 1255 of the family's 3401-position model. Lineage: Eukaryota; Metazoa; Arthropoda; Insecta; Coleoptera; Trogidae. The record is from RNAcentral.